GAUCUGAAAUCAGGUAGGGCUACCCGCUGAACUUAAGCAUAUCAAUAAGCGGAGGAAAAGAAACUAACAAGGAUUCCCCUAGUAACGGCGAGUGAAGCGGGAAGAGCUCAAAUUUAAAAUCUGGUUUGCUUUGCAAAUCCGAGUUGUAGUCUGAAGAAACGUUUUCCAUGAAAGCUGAGGCACAAGUCCUUUGGAACAGGGCAUCAUAGAGGGUGAGAAUCCCGUCCAUGAUCUCAAGCCUUUCAUUUUGUGAUACGUUUUCUAAGAGUCAGGUUGUUUGGGAAUGCAGCCUAAAAUGGGUGGUAAAUUUCAUCUAAAGCUAAAUAUUGGCGAGAGACCGAUAGCGAACAAGUACCGUGAGGGAAAGAUGAAAAGAACUUUGAAAAGAGAGCUAAAAAGUACGUGAAAUUGUUGAAAGGGAACCGU
RNAcentral lists this ribosomal RNA (426 nucleotides) under uncultured fungus. RNAcentral describes it as "eukaryotic LSU rRNA". It matches the Rfam family "Eukaryotic large subunit ribosomal RNA", at positions 1 to 422 of the family's 3401-position model. The record is from RNAcentral. Lineage: Eukaryota; Fungi.